AAAAAUUAAAAAAAAUAAAAAUAAAAUCUGUUCUUAUCAGUUUAAUAUCUGAUACGUCCCCUAUCUGGGGACCAUAUAUUAAAUGGAUUUUUGGGACAGGGAGAUGGAAGAAGAGCUUGCUCUGUCCACUCCACGCAUUGACCUGGUAUUGCAGUACCUCCAGGACCGGUGCACCUCUC
This 179-nucleotide small nuclear RNA is filed under the name Pelobates cultripes (western spadefoot toad). It matches the Rfam family "U2 spliceosomal RNA". Rfam says of the family: U2 is a small nuclear RNA (snRNA) component of the spliceosome (involved in pre-mRNA splicing). Complementary binding between U2 snRNA (in an area lying towards the 5' end but 3' to hairpin I) and the branchpoint sequence (BPS) of the intron results the bulging out of an unpaired adenosine, on the BPS, which initiates a nucleophilic attack at the intronic 5' splice site, thus starting the first of two transesterification reactions that mediate splicing. Lineage: Eukaryota; Metazoa; Chordata; Amphibia; Anura; Pelobatidae. The record is from RNAcentral.